Amphimedon queenslandica is the source of this 332-nucleotide long non-coding RNA. RefSeq lists it as uncharacterized. NCBI's taxonomy places the organism in Eukaryota, Metazoa, Porifera, Demospongiae, Haplosclerida, Niphatidae. The transcript has 2 exons. The record is from RefSeq and is a predicted model, not a curated record.
AAAUGAAACAAGAUAAUGAUCAGCCAUCAGAUGAAAACCUCCUGUUAGACAAGAAACCUCUAAAGAGUGACCUCCUUAGGUUAUUCAAAAGUUCUGCUGCCCAUUAUAUGAUCAUUGGGACUGCACUUGAUCUUGAAGUGGAUGACCUGUUACCAUAUCCAGCAGCUACUACAAGCAAUCUCAUUCAAGUAUUCAAGAGAUGGAUAGACUCCAAUAAAAGAGUGACCUGGAGGAAAUUACUUCAAGUUUGUGACGAUUUUCCAGAGGAACUUGGAAGAGUGAAAGUUGACGUGGAACAAUUUUUAUCAUCAGACAGAGCCCGUGAAAAUUAU